Molecule: transfer RNA, 85 nt
Filed under: Bacillota bacterium
Lineage: Bacteria; Bacillati; Bacillota
Description: tRNA-Tyr
Rfam family: tRNA
About the family: Transfer RNA (tRNA) molecules are approximately 80 nucleotides in length. Their secondary structure includes four short double-helical elements and three loops (D, anti-codon, and T loops). Further hydrogen bonds mediate the characteristic L-shaped molecular structure. tRNAs have two regions of fundamental functional importance: the anti-codon, which is responsible for specific mRNA codon recognition, and the 3' end, to which the tRNAs corresponding amino acid is attached (by aminoacyl-tRNA synthetases). tRNAs cope with the degeneracy of the genetic code in two manners: having more than one tRNA (with a specific anti-codon) for a particular amino acid; and 'wobble' base-pairing, i.e. permitting non-standard base-pairing at the 3rd anti-codon position.
Source: RNAcentral
GGGUGAGUAGCGAAGUGGCCAAACGCAGCAGACUGUAAAUCUGUUACCUCGCGUUUCGGGGGUUCGAAUCCCUCCUCACCCACCA